GGCACAGGGCCAUAUAAUCCCCUUCCUAGCAUUAGCCCGUCGCUUGGAAGAAACAAACAAAUACACCAUAACCCUUGUUAACACCCCUUUAAACCUUAAGAAGCUCAAAUCAUCUCUCCCUCAAAAUUCCUCUAUUCACCUUCUUGAAAUUCCUUUCAAUAGCGUAGAGCAUGACCUCCCUCCAUGUACUGAAAACACAGACUCUAUUCCGUAUCAUCUCUUUCCAAAAUUCCUUCAAGCAUCAGCAUCGCUCGAACCCCACUUCAAGAAACUAAUCUCUGAACUUGUCAAUGAACAAAAUGGCCAAAAACCACUUUGUAUCAUCACUGAUACGUUCUUAGGCUGGUGUAAAGAGACAGCACAAGAGUAUGGUAUUUUUCAUGCUAUAUUCAUAGGAGGUGGUGGCUUUGGCUUUGCUUGUUUGUACUCGAUGUUGCUAAACCUACCUCACCGCAGCACGGAUUCUGAUGAAUUUCUGUUGCCGGAUUUUCCAGAAGCUUCAACACUUCAUGUAACACAGAUAUCUCCUUACUUACGUGCUACCGAUGGAAGUGAUUCUUUUUCAGUGUUUUAUAAGAAGUUGCUUCUUCUAUGGAAGGAUGCAGAUGGAAUUUUGGUUAACACGGUUGAGGAACUUGACAAGAUUGGACUGAUGUAUUUCAAGAGAAAAUUUGGCCGGCCGGUUUGGCCAAUAGGGCCUGUUCUUUUGUCCAUGGAAAGCAGAGCUGCGGCCAGAAAAGAGUACGGAAUCUCCACAGAGUUGUGUAAAAAAUGGCUUGAUACAAAGCCGUACACUUCAGUUCUGUACGUAUCAUUCGGUUCACAAAACACAAUAGCUGCAUCACAAAUGAUGCAAUUGGCAAUGGCUUUAGAGGCUAGUGGCAAGAAUUUCAUUUGGGUUGUCAGGCCGCCGAUUGGCUUUGACAUAAAUUCUGAGUUUAAAGCCAACAAAUGGCUGCCUCGAGGAUUUGAAGAAAGAAUCAAAUGUUCAGGACAAGGGCUAGUGGUACCCAAAUGGGCACCUCAGGUGGAGAUUUUAUCUCAUAGGUCUGUAUCCGCAUUUUUGAGCCACUGCGGAUGGAACUCUGUGCUUGAAGCUUUGAGUCAUGGGGUGCCGAUGAUUGGGUGGCCAUUGGCAGCAGAGCAGUUUUAUAAUUCUAAGCUGUUAGAAGAAGAGAUGGGGGUUUGUGUGGAGAUAGCAAGAGGGAUGAGUUGUGAGGUUUUGAAAGAGGACUUAAGUGCAAAAAUUGAGUUAGUGAUGAAUGAGACUGAGAAAGGAACAGACUUGAGAAACAAAGCUAAUGAGGUCAAGGUGAUUAUUAAGAAUGCUGUGAGAAAUGAAACAAAUUUUAAGGGGUCUUCUGUCAAAGCCAUGGAUCAAUUCUUGAAUGCUGCAUUGAUAACGAGACAGAUGGAAAAGGGAGCAUCAAAGGAUGAGGUUUGAUUUUGCGUGGAAGGAAGUCUCCAUUGCCAUAUCUGUCAAUGAAAAAUAACGUUAUCUUUUAACGAGACAGUUUUUGGAAAAUUCUUGAAGUAAUGUUAUCUUUGUAUUAACUUUCGAUCAAUAAUAUGAAAUUUAAUUUUAUAUAAAUUAAUCCCAUACCAAAGAGCCACCUCUGUUUUUUGUGACUACAUCUAUCAAGAGUUUGAGUUCAAAGCUUGUUAUUUCCGAGUGGGAUCAAGAAUUUAUAGAGCGUAAUUCCUUAGUUUUUUUUUUUUUUUGAGAUAGAGCAUAAUUCCUUAGUAUUUAAUGUUUUCAAUAAAUGAAAGUAAGAUAGGGCCGGAAAAACAUCACCCACGAUCCACAUCAAGCCCAACCCAGACCAUAUCAUUUGGGCUGGUUUGAUAAGGAAAACUCAAUCUAUUAUAAAUUUCGGCAGGGAUUGGGUUGAUGAUUUUCACAAAAUAAUUUCUAAAAUGAUAUAUCGAUAAAUUACUGUUAAAAAAAUAAUAAUAAAAGGUAGAAAUCUGCAUCUCUUGAUUUGUCAAUGGCACCAUCAUCGUCAAUGACCAAACUUCUGAUCGUGGGUAUAACGAUAUUUAUAAGUUUUGGCUAAAUCAGAUUGCCACCAUUAAAUUUUUUAGUUAUUUAUAUCUUAGAUUUUUCUAAGAUCAUAAUAUGUCAAAAUAAAUUAUGGAAUCUAAAAGGAAAAAAAAAUUUAACUAACUAUACUUUUUUUUAAUGGAAAUGCAUUUUGAUUAAAGUAUAUUAAAAUGUUAAUAGUAAGAAUAAACAUAACUUUUCAUAUGAAAUUUUAGUUCAAUCGCAUGCCGUAAAUUUCAAAAUUUGGGACGCCAUAAAUUUCAAAGUUUGAGAAACAAAAAAGUUAUGAGAUUUUUCUAAAUAUGUGCAUUGAGAUCUCCUUCUUACCAUUCCUUAAUUACAUAUUUUUUAUUGUUGAAUUAUAUUGUGUUUUGUGUUCACUUAAAAUAGGAUUCAACUUUAUACCAUUCAACCAAUCAUGUUAAAAUGUUGGAUGAAAUUGAAUUAAAAUUAUUCAUAGCAUUAGAUGGAGAUUGAGAUUUUAUAAACAAAUGUUGGAUGGUGAUUGGAGAAAAGAGAUAUUGCAAAUGGCGACGCUGAUCGGAGAAAACAAAAAUACCCUAAAGUAUAUAAACGCUUGGUUUCGCAAUGAUAUAUAUUGUCUGAUUUAUUGAAAUUUGUUUUAAAGUAUACUCUAAUUUACUGGAUUGCUUGAAAAAAUAAAGUGUAAUGUUAAUCGCAUCUCGUAGAUUUGUAUGCAAAGUAAAUUUUAAUAUAAUAUUUUAAAUUAAUUAAAAUAACAGUAUUUUUCCAUUACAAUAAUAAAUCGUCUUUAAUUAUUUAUGAAGACAAAAUUUGGGCUAUUUUCAUAUUGAAAGCACAUAUACUCUUUGUCUGCAGGGACGACCCUCCAAGACUGAGACCAUCUAAAACUUGACUCAACAACUCUGCAUCGUAUAUAUAUUCCCAAAAGAUGAAAGCUUUGGUUUCCCAACUAAGUCACCCACCUCUGCUUUUCCCCUACGUAUUAGCCUGCGUAUUGGUGUUGGAUCAAUGUUGUAUAUGCCUUCGCUACAAAAUUAGACAAUUUUAAAAUUUUUGGUGAUUAUGAUCCUAUUUAGAAUUGAAUUGUUGUAACUUUUAAAUUACAAGUGUUGUGAAAAAAAGAUAUAAUUAUGAAUUAAGAGUAAAUAAUAUAUAGUAAAUAUAAUUUUUAAAUAAUAAUUUUACUAAAAUUAUUAAAGAUUUAUUAGACUUUUCAUCACACAAAUAUAAAAUCAAAUCAAAUUAGCUUUUAAGAUAUAGCAGUUAAUGUUUACCAAACACUUUAAUACUGUAACUUUUAAGGUAUACAUGUCCAACCUUAAUUCCAAAUAUAGUCUAUGAGUGUGUUUGGGAGUGAUGCGAGACAACUCAGUUGCUAAUGUGUUUGGUUACAUCUUACAGCUAGACUUUGACAGCUCAACAGUUUAAAAAUUAAGGUUUUUACUCUAUAGCUAUAAUUUUUACUCUACAACAACUGUAACUUAAAAACUACAGUACCUUACUUCCAAACACACCUUAUAUCUAUCACAAACUUGUUCAGAUUACUAACUAAUUAUGCGUUAUUUAACAUAGUAGAAUUCAAUAAUUCACUUAUUAUUAAUUUUUUGUUUUAGAUUUAGGUCUCUUGACCAUCUUUCACCGAUACAAACUGUUUUAUUACAUACCAAAACUGUUAAAAUCAAGGACGGAAGCAGCAUUGGUGCUACUAGGAUUAGUUGUCCCCACUUAAUUAAAAAAAGUAUUUAUUAAUCUAUUUUAUGCUUAAGUCUCACCCUGUAAUCUUUUAUCUUGAUUUCAUUGUUCAAGCCAUUUAUCCUUUAAAAUUAUUUGAACAACUCAGUAACUUGAAAUUAAAAGCCUAAUAGCCUUAAUUCCAGUAUGUUGCCAAAAAAAAAAUAAUUUAAUUAGCAUUGAUAAUAAAAUUAUUACGCAAUCAACUCAUAAAAAUUAUAUAUAUAUAUAUAUAUAUUAUGAGUGAAAGAUAUAAUCUUAUAGUUAGAGUUGGCAAAACGGGUCAUCGGGUCGUGUUCGUGUCGUGUCAGCUUCGUGUCGUGUCAAAUUUAAGUCAACCCAAACCCGACCCAUUUAAUAAUCGUGUCAAAUUAUUGAGACCCAAACCCGACACCGAAAAAUAAUCGGGUUACCCAAUAAUCUGCUUAAUAUCUAUAUAUUAAACAAAAGUUACAUCAAAUAUUUACACUUUGUCAUACAUAUGUAUGUACAUACAUACAUACAUCCAUACAUACAUACAAAAUUUAUCAAUAUUAUAAAAUAUACAUAUUUACUAAAAUAUUACACACACUAUUGAUGUUUUAAUUAUAUAUAUGUAAAUAAUAUUAUAUAUCAAUAUUAUAAAAUAUACAUGUCUACCAAUAUUUUAUACAUUUACAUUAUUAAAGCUCUAAAUGUAUUUAAAAUUUUAUAAAUAAAAUAUUGUGUCUAUAUUCAUCUUUUUAAAGAAUAAAAAAAUCCUAAUAUUUGAUUUUUGAUUACAAGAAUUUGUAAAUUAUUUUAAAAUAGAAAAUAUAAUCGGGUCAUUGAUCGGGUAAAUGGGUCAAGAAUUUUAACCCGAACCCGACACGGAAAAAAAUCGUGUUGACCCCGACCCGACCCAUUUAAUAAUUGUGUUAAAUUCGACGAUCCAUACCCAUUUAUUGGUGUCGUGUUCGUGUCGGGUAAUCGGGUCGUAUCAAAUUUUGUCAGCUCUACUUAUAGUUAUUAUUAUUUUUAAAAAAUUACCCCCAUAGAACAAAUUUCUAACUUCAUCCUUUCUUAAAGUAACUCACGUUAUUUCAAAUUUUCAACAAAAGCCAAAGACUAAUAGGUAUAAAUAAUUAUUUUAAAUUUUUUAUUAAAACUUAGCAGUUUGAGAAAAUUUUAUUAAAUAUGAAAUAAGAAAUGAAAUACCAAAUUCAGAGAAUUUAAUUACAUUAUUUUUUUCCCAGUUGGAAAUAUGUUGGAAAGAAAUGCCUUCAAAAUUUGCCAUUAAAAUAAGAAAUAUGUUUAUUAAUAUAAAUUAAAAAAUAAUGUAAUUAAAUUGGUUAAUAAAUAUUUGAUUUGGUUGGUCAUUUAACCAUAAAGUGACAACAUACAAGCGACAGAGUUGACGACUUUCUGUGCAGUGUGGAGCCCAUUCUAGACACAAAAAGUUAUGGAACAAACGGUGCCACCAAACAAAUUUUUACUUCUAUGAAAAGGAAUCAAAAAAUGAUAAUGAUUUGAUGUCAAAAGUCGAUAUGAUCCAAGCAAUGCUGCAAAACGGUGCCCACCAAACAAAUUUUUCAUUGUUAUUACGUUAAAAGACAGAAAAAAAAAACAAUUUGGAAACAGUACCAAGCAGCCUACUAAAAUUCUCGAAUUAUUUAGGAUUGGGGUUUUCUUUGAUGUUUAAUGAAUUAUUAUUGGCAAAUUGUAGUGAGUCAACAAUUGAAAUUAUAUUGAUCAAAUUGUAUCAGAACAUGAAUUCAUAUAAGUAAAUAGUAAGUAAAAGUUACUAGAUAGUCUACAGCAAAUCAUUCGAGCAGUAAUAAAAUAAACAAUAGAAAAGAAAAUGAAAAAUAGAAAACUUAGAAAAAAAAAACGAGGCCCGUUAAACAAUAGUUUCCUUAAAACAGAUUCAUCACCUACUACAGUGCUGUUAGGUUCAUUAGUAUUUAUUUUUUAGGAUACAAUAGGAAUAAAUUAUUUGUCAAGCUCAUACAAAUAAUUUCGGUGAACAGCAACAAUGUAGAAUCUCGAUCAAAACAUAACGUUAGAGGGAAAAAAAUUUCUUUUCUUUUCAACUGUUCUGUGUGUUUGUUGUAUAUAAAACAUAAGAGAAAUAUUGUUUUUUUAUAUACAUGAGGGUAUGACUGUUGAAUAAUAAAAUUGAAUAUUUGAAUUCUAUAUUUAAUUUAAUUUGCUUCUGUAAUAGCCCGUUGAAUUCAAAAUAUUUAAUUUUGUAACAGCUCAAAAUUUAUUCACAAAUCAAAACUGUUUUUGAUUUUUAAUUGUGAAAACUGUUACAAAAUUUAAAAGGAAAUAAAAAAAAUGUGGUCAUGCAGGCUUGAGUGAUUUUUUUGUCGACAUUCGCAUAUGCAAGACGCGUGGGUGCACACGAGUUCAACCAAAUUGAGUUUGGAUUGCACUUCCCCUCCCCCCACAAGCAGCGUAGAGAGAGCCUCUAUCUUUAAAAUUCUUAUUCAUGUAUGGAUAGGUAUCUAUAUAUAAACAUAAAUCCCUUAGCUUAUUUUUCCUAUGUGAGAUAAGUUUUAUUUUUUUUCAAAUUUCUAACUUCAAGAGUGCACUUUGAGAUUCAAUUUUCUCAUUCACCCAAGCAUGAUUUUGAAUAUAUAUAAAUAUAUCAUUCUAAAGUGUUCACAGAAUAGAAUCCAAACCUCUCAAUAUUUAAUUAACAAUAAUGAUAAAGUCAAAAUUAGUUUUGUACAACCAAUGGGUCAUUUGUUUUUUUUUUUUUUUGACUUAAUGACUUAAUUGACUUAAUUUAAUCAGUUAAGUCAUUAAAUCUAUUUAUUUUUUUCAACUUAAUGAAAAUUUUCAGUCAUUAGGUCAUUAAACUAUUAAACUAAUUUUUUAAAACUUUUUGUUUAAUCUAAAAAGUCUGAAUGAUAUAAUUAAAAGAUAUUCUCCAAAGUAUCCCUAUCUAAUUAAUUAAUUUUCAUUUUUACCUAAAUAAAAUUUAAUAAUGAGCAGUAUUACCCAUCUCUAUAUAACUUGUGAUAAUAUAUAGUUGUAAAGUAUUAUUUUUUUUUAUCUUUUUAUUUUGUUUCAAAUUAGCAUUAUUUAUCUUCAUAAUUUGUUAUGAAUAUUAUUCAUAUAAAAAUAUCAUAAACUAUAAUAAAUUUGAUAAACAUAUAUAAUAUUAAAGAGUUGUAUUCAAUUGAAAAUGAUUUAUGUUAUAAUCAUAUAUUAUCUUAUUUAUAUUCUUUGAGAUAUUUAUUUAUUUGUUUAACUUUUAUAAUUUGUAAGGGUAUAAAUGUAAAAAUAUUCGUUGUCAGAUUUUUUAAGUAAAAAAAAACUUAAUAUUUAUUUUUAGUGAUUCAAAUAAAAAAUAAACAUAUCAUUUAAAUUCAUACAUUCAGCUCUAUUAAGAAUUAAAACUAAUUCAGAUCUAUUCAGAUUUAAAAAAAAAAAAACAAACACCACUUAAAUAUAUAAAAAUUAAUGUAAUAUGAAGAAAUUAAUUGAAAAGUGAUAACAAUUAUCUUUUUCAAAUAUGUUGAGUCAUGGUGAUUUUAUACAAACAAUCUCCUCAUGAGAUUAAAAUGAGCAAUGUGUCAAGGGUAUAGCAAAAUUAUCAAAAUGCUCGGUUUGUUAAAUUUAAUUUUCAAUUUUUAAAUUUAGAAAGUCAAAAGUCAAACUAAAUCAUUCGGUCUUUAAAAAAAGCAAAAAUACCAAAAUGACCCCGCUCCCCUUCUUAACCAGUAACCACCCGAUCCUCCACAAUUUCUCCUUAUCCUCUCAUCAAUAGCAAUGGCACAAAGAAAAGAAAACAUAGUGAUGUUCCCAUUCAUGGCACAAGGCCAUAUAAUCCCUUUCCUAGAGUUAGCCCUUCAGCUGGAAAAAACAAACAAAUACACCAUAACUCUUGUUAACACCCCUUUAAACCUUAAGAAACUCAAAUCAUCUCUCCCUCAAAAUUCCUCUAUUCACCUUCUUGAAAUUCCUUUCAAUAGCGUAGCGCAUGACCUCCCUCCUUGUACUGAAAACACAGACUCUAUUCCAUAUCACCUCUUUCCAAAAUUCCUUCAAGCAACAGUAUCGCUCGAACCCCACUUCAAGAAACUAAUCUCUG
This 7823-nucleotide long non-coding RNA is filed under the name Citrus x clementina. RNAcentral's name for it is "Citrus clementina (C. clementina) long non-coding RNA (CCLE_LNC005225)". The record is from RNAcentral. Lineage: Eukaryota; Viridiplantae; Streptophyta; Magnoliopsida; Sapindales; Rutaceae.